RNAcentral lists this small nuclear RNA (96 nucleotides) under Octodon degus (degu). The record is from RNAcentral. Lineage: Eukaryota; Metazoa; Chordata; Mammalia; Rodentia; Octodontidae.
GUACAGCACAUAUCCUAAAAUUGGAACGAUACAGAGAAGAGUAGCGUGGCCCUGCCCAAGGACGCCAUGCAAAUUCAUGAAGGGUUCCAUAUUUUU